Molecule: non-coding RNA, 30 nt
Filed under: Mus musculus (house mouse)
Lineage: Eukaryota; Metazoa; Chordata; Mammalia; Rodentia; Muridae
Source: RNAcentral
UCCCUCAACUCAGCCACCAAAGGCAUACAC